GGGGCCGUAGCGCAGAGGCCGUCGCGCGCUCUCCACCACUGCGAGGACGCCGGUUCGAAUCCGGCCGGCUCCG
This 73-nucleotide transfer RNA is filed under the name Streptomyces sp. SID161. It matches the Rfam family "tRNA". Rfam says of the family: Transfer RNA (tRNA) molecules are approximately 80 nucleotides in length. Their secondary structure includes four short double-helical elements and three loops (D, anti-codon, and T loops). Lineage: Bacteria; Bacillati; Actinomycetota; Actinomycetes; Kitasatosporales; Streptomycetaceae. The record is from Rfam by way of RNAcentral.